CACUAGGAAGCUUGCAAAGCACUAGCCUUUUAAGCUAAAGAAGAGAGGGCCUCUCCCAAGUGA
Molecule: transfer RNA, 63 nt
Filed under: Phrynocephalus erythrurus erythrurus
Lineage: Eukaryota; Metazoa; Chordata; Lepidosauria; Squamata; Agamidae
Description: tRNA-Lys
Source: RNAcentral